RNAcentral lists this ribosomal RNA (251 nucleotides) under uncultured bacterium. RNAcentral's name for it is "partial 16S ribosomal RNA". It matches the Rfam family "Bacterial small subunit ribosomal RNA", at positions 58 to 339 of the family's 1533-position model. The record is from RNAcentral.
CAAGUCGAGCGCGUCUUCGGACGAGCGGCGGACGGCUGAGUAACACGUUAGUAGCUACCCCCUACUCAGGGAUAACCAUUGGAAACGAUGGCUAAUACCGGAUGGUCCCGAAAGGGUAAAGAUUUUUCGGUAGGGGAGGUGCUUGCGGCCUAUCAGCUUGUUGGUGAGGUAAUGGCUCACCAAGGCUAUGACGGGUAACUGGUCUGAGAGGAUGAUCAGUCAGAGGGAAACUGAGACACGGUUCCCACUCC